Molecule: transfer RNA, 72 nt
Filed under: Candidatus Woesearchaeota archaeon
Lineage: Archaea; Nanobdellati; Candidatus Woesearchaeota
Description: tRNA-Gly
Rfam family: tRNA
About the family: Transfer RNA (tRNA) molecules are approximately 80 nucleotides in length. Their secondary structure includes four short double-helical elements and three loops (D, anti-codon, and T loops).
Source: RNAcentral
GCACCGGUAGUUUAAUGGCUAGAAUCCGGGCCUUCCAAGCCUGUGAUCCGAGUUCGAAUCUCGGCCGGUGCA